Mytilus californianus (California mussel) is the source of this 640-nucleotide long non-coding RNA. RefSeq lists it as uncharacterized. Lineage: Eukaryota; Metazoa; Mollusca; Bivalvia; Mytilida; Mytilidae. The transcript is spliced from 3 exons. The record is from RefSeq and is a predicted model, not a curated record.
UAUGUCUUACUUAGUCAGGACUUUAAGCAGUAAAUAUCAUUUUAAAAAUGAAUUGAGUCAGUAAAGUCGGGAUGCUGAUUAUGCUAAGAAACACUGGAUAUUGGUCUAUAAUAGACUAUUGAAUGGGGAAACCAGCAUGUACUAUUUGCACAUGGAUAACUAUUCUUCGUGACGAUAUCCGGGACCGGAGGUCGGUUUUUAAAACGCUUGAAUGAUUCAGAUGAAUGAUGCAAAUUGAAGACGCCGGUAGCCAACUGACAACAACUUGAACAAGUACUUGUUUCUGUUUAUUUAACGAGACAAACACAAUCAAGGAGCUAUGAACGCAUAGAAACUCGAGGAAAUAAAACAGCAGUACAUUGUAUUACAACAAAUGGUCAGAGGAGUUGACUGAUAAUGGACUGGAGUAACCUAGGGUCCAAUGACUCUGAAAAUGCAUGACAGUACUGGCAUGUGUACAUGUAUGUCGACAGCCAAUUCUAAGUAACCUUAAACGUAUACAUUGUAUAUACAAAAGACCUGCAAUAAUGAAUUAACUCCUCAGAUGUCAGUGGAAUGGAAGUAAUACACAUCAUAUGUUUCAAUGAAAUUAAUAUGAUUAAUGAUGGGAUAAGACGUAGAGGAGAUCCUAUAUCUACAA